AUAUUUUUCCCGUCCUUGGUAUAGAUAAUGCUUUUCACAGGAUGAGGAUUGCCCCUUGCACUCUGGGUGUGCUGACCCCUGUGAUUUUUUUCCCCAAACGUGGGAAACUCGACUGUGUAACUUGUGGUAGUGGGGGGACUGCUUUCGCGCUUUCCCUUG
RNAcentral lists this small nuclear RNA (159 nucleotides) under Crocodylus porosus (Australian saltwater crocodile). RNAcentral describes it as "U1 spliceosomal RNA (ENSCPRG00005012454.1)". It matches the Rfam family "U1 spliceosomal RNA". From Rfam's summary of the family: U1 is a small nuclear RNA (snRNA) component of the spliceosome (involved in pre-mRNA splicing). Lineage: Eukaryota; Metazoa; Chordata; Crocodylia; Crocodylidae. The record is from RNAcentral.